CUUGCCCUCAGCGCCGCCUCCUCUCCUUCCUCUCUCUCCCUCUGCGCCACCUCUUCUCCUCCUCUUCAUGCGUGGCGGCGUCUCGUCAUCCCCAGCCCCCGCCCAUCCCCAGCCUCCCCAAUCCCCUCCUCCCGCAUGAACCCUAGCAGAGAGAGAAGAUGAGAGGGAGAGAGAGAAGAUGAGAGGGAGAGAGAGAAGGAAGGAGAGGAGAGGAGGGAGAAAGAGAGAGGAAAGAGGAGAGGGAGGUGUGGCGGCUGACGGGAGAGGGUCAUCGGCCGGCGUCGGCCUGCGUCGACGAGAUCUGCUCUGCUUGUUUUGGUUCCUUUUGAUUGAUGCAUUAUUUUUGUCUAUUUCUGUGUACCCAGGUGACUAUGCAAGUUGCAUUGACAGAAUCCAUGUACUAAACUGGGGCAUUUUUGGCAGCUGCAGCAACCUGACAAUUAAUUCGUUCUCGUCCAAGGUAAUUUACUUCCCCCCUUUAUGUAUCAUGGAUGGAUAUAUGUGAUGGUUGGUUGUCAUUACUGAAGCAAGAAUUAUUGAUGAUGACUACCUUUCGAGCAGGUUUACCGCUCGUCUUGCUAAUGUUAAUUUGUAUGUUUUCAUUUUUUCUUCUUCUCCAUUUUGUUGUAUAAUCUAUGGACGUUGUCCAGAAAGUAUUUUGCAACUUCAGAAAUCCAAAAUUAUGGUUAUGAUGUUAAUGACCAGGAUGAUGUGAUAGCCUCUUUUGAUCCGUAUCUUUUUUUUCGAAGCUUGAAAGAUAUACUUGCAGUAUGGUCUGUGGAUCUCCUUUGCUUUGUCAUACUGAACCCAUUUUGGAACAAUAUGGCAUCAAAGCAUUUGUUUUUUGUCCAGCCAAUAAUGUAAUGGUCUAUGGGCAAAUAAAUCAUGGUUUAAAUCAGGCUCUUUAUUUCUCUUUUGAUUGAUUUAAGGUAUUCACAUAUAUAAUGGUUCCCAAUACCCAUAGAAUUAUUGGUUUUAAUUGGCUUCUUGGCUUCUUGCGUCCGCGGGUCAUCUAGCGCUGCCGACAUCGUUUUCUAUCAGGCUCACUUCCUAUCUUAUAUUGAUUGUUGUACUGCACUACCUCAGUUUUAAAGAUCAGCAUCCUAAAUUCCUAAUCGAACCAGAAAAGCACAGGUGAGUACCAGCUAGCCUCUCUAUACUAAUUGUCUACACAUUGGUUUCUCCUGCUCUCUGCUCUUUACUAUGCUAAUAUUUCAUUCGAUCUAAGUAAUUAGGCCCCAGAGCAUAUAUUCUUCACCAAAAAUAAAAACUGUGUAGUAAACUCACUUAGAUAGUUCCCAGAUUUUACAUACUUCCUAUUUUUGUCAUGCACACAAGAUGUUUAAUGAUGUGUCUACAAACAAAAAAACAGAUAUUUCAUGUCUUUGCUUUGGCCUGCUGAAUACCUUCCUUGCAAUACCUUUGCUAUGCACCUAUAUGAAUUUACUUUACCCUUACAAUGACCAAGACAGCAGAUAUUAUCAUAUUAAACAAGCCAAUACAGAGACAAUCCUUUGCUUUUCUUGCUUAGUUUUACCUAAUUAUCAGCAGAUCAAUAGGCUAUAUAGAACCUCCAACCUGUUCACUCUGAAUCCUACUGAAGACCAUCCUAUGGAGAAACAGGAGUACUGGCCCUUCGAACUACCUACAAGACCCCGAGGUGCAACCGGCCAUGGCAAGGCAGGAGAUGUCGAGAGGAAUUUCCCUCCUGGAUAUUGCAGACACUACGUGCCAUUGCCCAUUACAAAUCUGCCUAGGAGUGCAUGGGAAAAUGUUUACAUUUAAGCAACCUCAGUUGCAGAUUUUUUAUAUUUGUUCACUCAAGAGGCCAUUAGUCUAUACCAGCGAUAGAGACAGCUUCCCUUUUCACUACUGUAGAACAUAUGAAGGUUUAGCACUCAAGGGAGUUAAUUGGCAUAAAUCUCAUCUGUCGCGAUUUGAUUUGCAUGGCUCUGAACCUAGGCAGCAAUGAUAUAAGCGUAUUUAUAUAUACUUUUGCAUCACGAAGUUCGCCAGCAAACAGCACAAUGCUCAUAAUGAAUGGAAAGAUAUUACCCUAUAUAGCAGCUGAACUGUGUGUGUUUCAUUCCUAUAAAUGUGUACUGGGACAAUGCUUACAAUGCUCUCUCUCUCUCUCUCUCUCUCUCUCUCUCUCUCUCUCUCUCUCUCUUACACACAGACAAUCACGGUUGUUCCUGUAUUAUCCUUGUAUAUGCAAACUACUUUUUGUUUCUUAUACACAACGACCUAUGUUCUAUGUUGGGUACAUAUUUUUGCACUUCUUUUGAAAUUAUUAUGGUGCAUAUGUGAUAUACCUAGCUUGUAUUAAUUUCCAGGGUAUAUUCCAGUCAUAAUGGAGAUGCUUGUGAUAAGUUUGGUAUCUUCCUCUGCUACAUCUUUUGGUGUUAUGGGCCGUUCCUAGAUCUCUAUAUUUUGCAAGAGGCCAUGUUAUUUUGGUAUGUACAAGCUAUUUAAGAGGGCCAAGAAGGCGGAAUAACCUCGCUUAUACAGUUUCUGACUGCUAACAGUGCCAUCAUCAAUGAGCUUCACUCUAAAGUCUGUUCAUGAGAGGGUUGGGCUUCCUUCAAUGCUAGGGCUGAAAUUGGAGAAUAAACAAGGGGUUGACAUGCCUGUGAAGUUCUAUUAGGACAGCGUCUCUCCGCGUUCUCGAUCCGGCGCCGCCACAUAUCGUGAUUCUGGAUCGGGCGCAGGUCGUCGCCAUAAGAGAGCCUGGCUGGUGUGGUCUUCACGCUUGGUGUGGAGAAGCACGGGAGGAUGAGUAGGACGGGCAUGGGGAAGGAGCAGCCAGGCCGGAGCUCCGGCGUUCCUCGUGUCAUGGUCGAAUGGAGCCGGCCAUCACUAUGGGCUUCUGCUCGCCGGUCGUCGUUCCCCAAUCUCAGUUGCUCAUCUUUGGCUUCACCAUCUUCCUCCCCUGAUCAUGCAUCUAUUUUAAAUCAUAUAAUUAUGCUAUAUCAUAUAUGUUGUUUAGUUCAGACUUGUGCAUGCGCAUGCAUUGGCAUUGAUUUAGACAGAGAUAUUGCAUGAUUUGUACAUAGAAGGAGUACGGAUGAUCUAGGAAUAAAUGUUUGAAUAAAGUUAGUAGUGAGAUUUAGGUAGAGGUUACCUGCACUGUUCUGUUUUAUGUAGAUUCUAAGAUGCAAAAUCA
Molecule: long non-coding RNA, 3166 nt
Organism: Triticum dicoccoides
Lineage: Eukaryota; Viridiplantae; Streptophyta; Magnoliopsida; Poales; Poaceae
Exons: 3
Source: RefSeq, a predicted model, not a curated record